GUAAUUCCGGUGAAGAUGCCGGAUACCUGCGACAGGACGGAAAGACCCCAUGGAGCUUUACUGUAGCUUGACAUUGGGUCUUGGUACUACAUGUACAGGAUAGGUGGGAGGCUUUGAAACCAGGACGCCAGUUUUGGCGGAGCCAUCCUUGGGAUACCUCCCUUGUAGUACUGGGACUCUAACCAUAGGCCAUGAAUCUGGUCUUGGGACACUGUCAGGUGGGCAGUUUGACUGGGGCGGUCGCCUCCCAAAAGGUAACGGAGGCGCUCAAAGGUUCUCUCAGUACGG
This 288-nucleotide ribosomal RNA is filed under the name Clostridioides difficile. RNAcentral describes it as "partial 23S ribosomal RNA". It matches the Rfam family "Bacterial large subunit ribosomal RNA", at positions 2044 to 2330 of the family's 2925-position model. Lineage: Bacteria; Bacillati; Bacillota; Clostridia; Peptostreptococcales; Peptostreptococcaceae. The record is from RNAcentral.